Gopherus evgoodei (Goodes thornscrub tortoise) is the source of this 1210-nucleotide long non-coding RNA. RefSeq lists it as uncharacterized. The record is from RefSeq and is a predicted model, not a curated record. Lineage: Eukaryota; Metazoa; Chordata; Testudines; Testudinidae. The transcript has 5 exons.
UUUCAUCGUCUGAGUCAGAUGCCACCAGCAGAAGAUGAUCCAGCUUGUUUCAAUCAGCCAGUCUCGUGCUUCUGUGUGAAUGAGGAAUUAGAAGGUGGGCGUGGAACAAGAGAGUUGUUUCAAGGUAAUCGAAGACACCAAAUUAUACCAGCAGUUUUUCAGAAGACAACCAGGUCAUUCUUAUUGGUGAAAGAAGAGAGGAAUUGAAUUCAUGCAUUUGGCUGACCAUGGUGUAGCAUCACCAUGUGCUUACGUAGCUGAAUAGUGGUUAUCCAUGAGCGAUGUAGGUUACCAAAUCUAGAGAUGGUGUGCACUUUACAGACCAAGGGCAAGAUUCAUUCAUUGGCCUCUGGCCACAGAGGGUCUGUUGGAAAUGGGGUCUCAGUGGUGCAAGCCGCCUGUGAGGACUGGGCUGGAACUGCUCAGUGCCCCUGUGAAGUUGGUAGCACUUGCCAGUAGAGAGAAGGGAUGGGAGUAGUCCAGCUUGAAGACACCCUUAUUCAGGGCUUUUCUCAGACAACCUCUAGGGAUUUUAAUGCUACCCUUCGCCAGCCAAACUGACCUGAAGAAGGACAAUGAUGGUACAGCUAUUUGUGAUUCAUGCGGGUGGAUCUUUUCUAGCAAAGAUGUUCCUGUGGAGGCAGAGGAUGAAGUUUGUAUCACCCUGUGCCUGCAGGUCUGAAUCUGGUCUUAAAUGUGCAGCAAUCCUUUCAGCAGCUUCUGAGUCAGAGGGAAGUGCAUCUAACAAGGACAUGUAUGCACUACAAAAUUGUGUUGAUCUAACCUAUGACGGCAUACAGCCAGCGCAAUUAUCAAAUCGCUUGUGUAUGUGCACACUUGGCUCCUUGUGUCAGUGGUGCAUGUCCUCACCAGGAGCUCUUGUAUCAACUGUAUUGUCAGGGGCAUUGAGGGACAGCUUCUGAAAGCCUGUAACAGUUGACAUAAGCAAUGCAGUGUCUGCACUGAUGCUGUGUCGAUGAGGUGCUUUUACUGGGGCUAUGUCUACGCUACCACCUAUGUUGGCAAAACUUUUGUCGCUCAGGGGUGUGACUAUUCCACCCCCCUGAGCAACAUAAUUUACAUUGACAUAAGCGCUAGUAUGCGCAGUGCUAUGUUGUGACAUAGCUUAUGCUGUUCACAGGGAUGGUCUUUUUAUGCCAACAGGAGGGUCCCUCCUGUCAGCAUAGAGCAGGGGUUGGCAACCUUUCAG